GACGAACGCUGGCGGCGUGCUUAACACAUGCAAGUCGAACGGAAAGGCCCUGCUUUUGUGGGGCGCUCGAGUGGCGAACGGGUGAGUAACACGUGAGUAACCUGCCCUUGACUUUGGGAUAACUUCAGGAAACUGGGGCUAAUACCGGAUAGGAGCUCCUGCUGCAUGGUGGGGGUUGGAAAGUUUCGGCGGUUGGGGAUGGACUCGCGGCUUAUCAGCUUGUUGGUGGGGUAGUGGCUUACCAAGGCUUUGACGGGUAGCCGGCCUGAGAGUGUGACCGGCCACAUUGGGACUGAGAUACGGCCCAGACUCCUACGGGAGGCAGCAGUGGGGAAUAUUGCACAAUGGGCGGAAGCCUGAUGCAGCAACGCCGCGUGCGGGAUGACGGCCUUCGGGUUGUAAACCGCUUUCGCCUGUGACGAAGCGUGAGUGACGGUAAUGGGUAAAGAAGCACCGGCUAACUACGUG
This 468-nucleotide ribosomal RNA is filed under the name uncultured bacterium. RNAcentral describes it as "partial 16S ribosomal RNA". It matches the Rfam family "Bacterial small subunit ribosomal RNA", at positions 28 to 507 of the family's 1533-position model. The record is from RNAcentral.